This 468-nucleotide ribosomal RNA is filed under the name uncultured bacterium. RNAcentral describes it as "partial 16S ribosomal RNA". It matches the Rfam family "Bacterial small subunit ribosomal RNA", at positions 28 to 507 of the family's 1533-position model. The record is from RNAcentral.
AACGAACGCUGGCGGCGUGCUUAACACAUGCAAGUCGAACGGGAAGGCCCUGCUUUUGUGGGGUGCUCGGGUGGCGACCGGGUGAGUAACACGUGAGUAACCUACACUUGACUUUGGGGUAACUUAAGGCAAGUGGGUCUAAUACCGGCUAGGAGCUCCUGCUGCAUGGUGGGCGUUGGUUAGUUUCGGCGGUUGGGGAUGGACUAGCGGCUUAUCGGCUUGUUGGUGGGGUAGUGGCUUACCAAGGCUUGGACGGGUAGCCGGCCUAGGAGGGUGACCGGCCACAUCAGGACGGGGAUGAGGCACAGACUCCAACGGUAGGCAGCGGUGGGGAAGAGUACACAAGGGGCGGAAGCAUGAUGUAGCACCGCCGCGUGCGGUAUGACGUCAAGCGGGUUGUAAAGCGCUUCCGCCUUAGACGAAGCGUUAGUGACGGUAACGGGUAAAGAAGCUCCGGCUAACUACGUG